RNAcentral lists this long non-coding RNA (28515 nucleotides) under Populus trichocarpa (black cottonwood). RNAcentral's name for it is "long non-coding RNA (PTRI_LNC001113)". The record is from RNAcentral. Lineage: Eukaryota; Viridiplantae; Streptophyta; Magnoliopsida; Malpighiales; Salicaceae.
AAAAGAUGAACUCUCUCAAAUAUUACGUUAUCCUGCUCUCGUUGCUUACCCUUGCCAUUAUCACUCUAGCACAGGAGGAUGCCAAUUAUCUCCAUCAUAAUUGCCAAAACGCAUCCACCUCCGCAAUAAACAGCACCUACCGAGUCAAUCUAAAUCUCCUCCUCUCUUCACUUGCCUCAAACGCAACCCGGAAUAAUACCAAUGGAUUCUACAACACCUCUUUCGGGCAGAACACUGAUCAAGUGUACGGCCUGUUUAUCUGCCGUGGCGAUCUUAGCAACACUGUUUGCCGAAAUUGUGUCACCUUCGCCACCGAAGAUAUAGUCCACCGUUGCCCAAUCGGAAUAGCGUCCAUUGUGUAUUACGAUGAGUGCAUCCUACGUUACUCUAACGUGAACAUUUUCUCUAAGGUGGAUCAAAGCCCUUCUUUCUCUUUCUCCUUGUUAAACACACAGAAUAUCACAACCGAACCCCAGCGUUUUAACAAUCUAGUGGGAGCCGCCGCGAAUGAUUUGGCUGCUCGAGCUGCAAGUGCUCCUCCAGGUGCUAAAAAGUUUGCCGUGAACAAAACGUCUUUCAAUGCGUUCCAAAAUAUAUACAGCCUUGCCCAGUGCACACCGGAUUUAUCUAGCUCUGAUUGCAAUCGAUGUCUCAGUGCAGCUAUAGCUGGAUUGCCCAAUUGCUGCAGCAGCAAGAUAGGAGGAAGAGUCUUGUUUCCUAGUUGUUAUAUUCAUUAUGAAAUUACUGAAUUUUAUAAUGCAACGGCAGUUGCAGCGGAGUCACCGCCUCCUCCUCCUCCGCCCGUGGUUCUUCCUUCUCCUCCACCUCCUCGUUCAGUGACAAUACCAGAAGGUAAAGUUAUUUUGCACUAUUUAUUGUUUUUGUCAAUAUCUUUAAUCCCCACUCUAACAAAAUCGUUACUAUAGAAUGCACUCGUCGAAAUUUAAAUUUAUCUCUUAAAUUUUUUGGAUGAAAUUUAUUUAUUAAAUUACAAAAUACAAAAUCCUUAAAUUAUUUUGGAAAUUUUUUUUAAUCCUUUUGUAAAUUUUAAAAUUAAGUUGGUUGGUUGGUAUUCUUGAUUCAAAUGUGAUGGUUUUGGCCCAAUUCUUGUAAGGUAUUCUUGCCAUGUGAUCUUACGAUUUUAUCCUCCAAAAGGCAUCUCACAUGUUUGAAAGUCAAUUCCGAGUCCUCUAAUGUGUAUCCCACGCCAUGAAAGUUCAAUCCAAAGAGGUCCAUUCUGGUGUUAGCUCAACAUUUCUUUUCGGAUCCCACCACGUGAUAGUACCUCCAAAAUUGUUAACGAUUUUGUGCGUGUUGUGCAAAACUUACAAAAAAAACAAAAAAACACUUGCAAUAUUUACCAUGUUUGGAUCAAGAAUUGCCCACCUCCAUGAACAAUUUUAAAACAAUCCAUCUAAAUUAAGAAAAAAAAACCUUGCAAGAACAAAUCCCUCAAGUCAAGCCCUCUUAAGAUAAACUUCUCAAAGCUACAACGGAAUCGUCACGAAUAUAGGAAUUCUACACUACAUAUUUUUCCUAGUAGAGAUUUGCGACACGAUUCAACAAUUCAAUUUUUGCUCAUCAAGAUUAAAUCAAUCUCUUUAAUAGUUAAAUAUAGUGUAACGAGACUAGAAAAUUCAUCAGGUUUUUACUUCUUACAUCUUGAACUUAGAUUAACAAAUUAAAAAGAACCUGAGAAAUUAUUAUAGCUCUAGAGACAAAUCAAAAUUGCUCCUUACUCAAAAAACAUUUUAACUAGGCGUUGAUUGUAAUAUUUACUAUAACACAAUUAUCUUUAACAAUUUAUGUAGGGUUAGGUUGGUAAUUUAAUAUUUUUUUCACAGUAAAAAUAUUUAUGUACCCUACAAUUAAAAAUAUAUAUGUUGCUUUUCUCUUAGGAGUGUUUUGGUAUUUUUAAUUUUUUUUUAAAUAGUUAAAUUACUUUUAUACCUUAAAGAUAAAAUAAACAUAACUCUCUCAUAUUGACAUUUUCAUCUUUUUAUUGUGGUUUUUUUUUUAAUAUCAUGUUACUUCAGGGCAUUGUUUUAUUUUCAUAAAUGUUUAAUAUUAAAAAAAUUUUACUAGCACAUGCCAAUAGCUCCUGAGUCCUUUAGGCUGUGUGUGGGGGAUUGCUCGGCCACCAAAUGCUUCUUUCACUAAAAUUGUUGGAAUCAUCAUGAUGCCCCCGAUGUAAUGGUGUGGCUCGUGUUUCAAGAUUCUUAAUGGUUUGGCAUCAAUAACUAUUUUUUCUUCCUUUUCUCUUUCUCCUCACCUAUAUUUUCACGCCAACCCAUUAAUAACUCUAGAACAACCCCUUAAUUUUUUAAUUCUUCAGACUUACCCCUAUUCUUUAUGUUAUAAUUUUUUUUAUUUUGAAUAAUUUCUAAAAUUGGUAUGCCUUUCGAUUUCAUCCCUCUACACUUUUUUUCAUCUUUUAAACUUGAUCACUGUUAUUUUUUUGUUUGAAAUUAUUUUUAAAAAUUUAUUUUGCUUUACAAUUUCAUCCUUCUUUGUUUUUUUUCUUAUCAACUUUAAUCCUCAUUCUUUUGAUUGUCAAUAUUUUUGCUUUGACAAGUUUUUUAAAUUGAUAUUUUUAAUUGGUUCGUAAUAAAAUUCUUAAUUGAACCCGGAUCCAGGAUUUCACAGGAUGCGAGUUUUGAAGAAUUGACCAGGAUAAUAAUGUUUCCUGGGUUUGCUUGGUUUUUUAUUUUUCUUUGUCUAAGUUAAUUUUUUUUCUCAUCUCAUCUUUUAAUAUUUAUUCAAUUGGAGUAUGGGUUAUAUAUUUUUUAGCUUGCUUUCUGCUAAAUUUUUUGUUGGUUUUGAAAAUGACCCAGUUAUCUUGAGCUUUUUAUUUAUCUUUCUUUGUUGAAUUUUUUUGGCUAAUUCUUUAAAUUGAUAUCUUUUUCUGAUUUCAUCCUUAAAUAUUUGAAAUUAUUUUUUAAACAAUUUAUAAGAUUAAAAUUCAUUUUCUAUUUCAUCUCCCUUUAUUUUAUUUUUUUAUCUUUCGGAUUGUAUUCUCACUCUUUUGAUUUCUAUUUGUUUUAUUUGAGAUAACUGUUUUAAUUUAUUUUCUUUCUCUAGGAUUUUUCAUUGAUUUUAAAAAUAACUUAGGUUUUCUCGAGUCUUUUUAUUUGUUGUUCUUUGUUGGAUUUACUUUUGGUAAUCAAUAUUAAAUUAGUUGAGAAUUGAGUUUUUUUAUUCAGCCCGGGUUUGAGAUUUAAAGGGCUGCGAGUUUAAGAUCUUUGCCUAUGUUUAAAAGGUUCGUCUAGUUUUUCUUGGGUUUUUUUUUAAGUUUAUGACUUUUUAAUUUUAUUAUUCAAUAUUUAUAUCAUUAGUAAUUAGACUUUUUAUCUUCAUUAUGAGCCUUCUAUAUGAUUUUUUUGAAUGUUUUUUUUUCGGUUCCCAUAUUUUUGUUUUUAUGUUUUCCAUAUGUCAACCUUUUUUUCAUUGUUGGGUCUAUGGCCCAAGUUACAUUUUUAAAAAAAUAAAAUAAAAAAUGAUUGCCUCAUAAAAUUACAAAUGUUUAUCAAUUUCACUCCUUCCAUUUUUAUUUUUAUUUUGUCUUUUAAAUUUGGUCAUCAUUGUUUUGAUUGUUAUUUGUUUUUUUUAAGAUCACUUUUUAAAUUAUUUUACACACACACACACACACACACAUAUAUAAUUUCAUCCUCCACGAGUUUUUUUUUCCUAUUAUACUUGAUUUUUAUUCUUUUUAUUGUUAUCUUUUUUGCUUUUUCAAGUUUUUUAAAUUAAUAUUUUUUUCAUGAUUUCAUCCUUUAAAAUUAAAUUGGUUGAGAAUUAAGUUUCUUGAUUCAACUCGGGUCUAAAAAUUCAUUAGUUGCGAGUUUUAGAGAUUGGACCACGUUCAGGAGGUGUGCUCGAGUUUCCUUAGUUUUUUUUGUUUUUUUUUAUAAUGUUUUUUAUUUCUUAACCUUUUUUUAGUUUUGCAUUAUUAUUUUUUAUAGUUUGUCUUCUAUGAGAUUAAUCUCCGGUUUAUGACCAGGUUACCGAUUUCAGAGCUUAAUAAGGGUUGACUUUGUUUUGUUUUUUUUUAAAUUGAUUUAUUUUUAUUUUAUCCUUCAAUAUUUAAUUUAUUGGAAAGUGGUUUUCAUACCUUUUUUCCUUUCCUUCUAUUAGUUUAUCUCGAUCAUAUGCCUAUAGUCAUGAAGUUUGCAGGUAAAUCCAGGUUGACUCAUAUCUUUUCUCGUUGCCUUUUUAAAUUAUAUUUUGUUUUUUUAUCCUUCAACAUUGAAUUGUUUGAUAAUUGAGUUUAAUAAUUAUAUUCAAUUUGCUUUUUAAAGUGGUCACUCUAGUAUCACAAUUAGGUCAUAGAUUUUGUAUCAUAACCCUGGUGGGUGCAGAUCGAGUUUUUUCAUCCUUUUUUUAAUUAUCUUUCUUUCUUAAUUUUUAUCCUUCAACAUUUUAUUUGCUGGAGAUUGAACUUCAACUUGUUUCUUUUUAAUUUUCAUUCUUUGAAGUUAUCAUGUUCUCAAUUGAUUUAUUAAGAAUUGGACUUUGAGCUUUUUUUCUUGUAUUGUUUUUAUGAGAUUAUCUCAAUUAAUCUUAUAUCAAUGGUCGUGAAGUUUGCAAAUUAACCCGUUUUAAUGUAGGCUUUUUUUUAAUUAUUUUUUGUUUUGUCCUUCAACAUUAGAGUUGUUUGAUAAUUCAGGUAGACUCAUGUUAGGUUUUUUUUACCUUUUUUCUUUUACUUUUUUGCCAGUUUAUUUAGUGUUGUUGUAUUUUGUUAAUCAUGUCAUUUGAAAUUACUAAUUGAACUAACAACUCAAUUCUAAAAAAAAAAUUCCUUAGCAUUUUUUUCUAGGUUGAAAAAAUAUUUGGCUUUCACGGACAACAGAUCUAGUUUAAAUUUUUCAAAUAAGUUUAUUGAGUAUAUCCAUGUCGUCCAUCUGGACUAUUAAAUUUCAGUAUAAUAGUAAAUGCAAUGGUUUUGAUAACCAUCACUAUUGCACUGAUGUUAUGAAAAGAGGCAUUGGUGCUUUCCCAUGGACUUUGAGAAAGUUUAACCAAAUUGCGAAGGACAUAUUUUGAUAGCAUUUGGUCAUUCCAUGAGAAAGCAAUACUGAACUUAUAACCCUGUUUCUAAUUAUAAUGGAUCCAAAAUAAAAAAAGAUAUUCAUGUUGGAUUGUCAACGUGUUACAAAAGGUUAAUUACUGGCUUGAAAGCUGCUUUUGACUUUAAAUCACGGAAGCAAAGUUAUAAAACCCGGUAAAGUUUAUAAUUCUGUGCAAGACUUCGAUUAUGAGUUGGAUUAGUCAGGUAAAUCUAAACUAGUGUGAUUUCAAAAAUUAUUUUAAGAAAUAUUUUAAAUGAUAUCGAGUUGAAAAAAAGUUUAAAAAAACAAAAAAAACUCAUAAAAAACUUAUUUGGGUUUUAAUUAGAUUAAUCGAAUCACAGGAUAAUCAAGUUUAACAUGGUUAACUCCCAACACGAAUUGAUAUAAAACCUUGUCUAAGCUAAUUACCAAGUCAACGAUUUGACUCACAAAACCAAGCCAGGUUUAUAACAUUUUUACUAAAAAAAAAUUAGUUAUCUAGAAAUAAUUUAUUAUCUUUUGUUCUUUGAAAAAAUGUUUCAUGACAUGGUUAAAUAUUUUCUUUUUUCUAAUUUCUUAAAAAGAAGAAAGAAAGAAAGAAAGAAAAGAGCUCCCAUGUCUUUCACAAAUGGAUUCGUCUCUCUUUGAAUAUGCUUGUAUGUGAAAGUUAAAAGCUUUUAUGAAUUACAACGUGUUUUUGAAUGAUACAUGUUUCUUUAUGCAGAGAAAGGCGGUGUCCCAACAGUUUUAAUUAUGGCCAUUGUCAUUCCCUUCGCUGUUUCUAUCGCGCUUUUUUGCAUGUGUUUCUGUUUCCUGAGGAGGGCAAGAAAGACCAGAGAUUAUGUGCCAGAAAAUGAUGGUAAAGAACAUUAGAAAUCUUUUUUAAUUGGGAAACAAAAAAAAAAAAGGAGAGUCUUUUCUGUUUUGUACUCUGCCUAAUAAUAUUUUCAAACGCUCAAAGGAAUAUCUACUUGUGUUGUGUAGUUGGAGAUGAGAUUACCACCGAGGAGUCCUUGCAAUUUGAUUUGAGUACUAUAGAAGCUGCCACGAACAAUUUUUCCGCUGAUAACAAGUUAGGUGAGGGAGGAUUUGGUGAGGUUUACAGGGUAACCAAUUCGUAAAGAAUUUAAAUUUUCAAGAACAGGAAAUACCUUGUUGCAUUAGGAUUUAAAAAUCCCUUGCUCAACCAUCGGUGAAAGUGCUUUCUCAGGGAACACUUCCUAAUGGACAGCAAAUUGCUGUGAAGAGGCUAUCAAGAAAUUCUGGACAAGGUGCAGCAGAAUUUAAGAAUGAGGUUGUAUUGGUAGCCAAGCUUCAACACAGGAAUCUAGCGAGGGUGCAAGGAUUUUGCUUGGAAGGAGAAGAAAAGAUUAUUGUCUAUGAAUUUGUCUGCAACAAAAGCCUUGACUACUUUCUAUUUGGUAUUUAUUGAUGAUUUUCUAAAUGUUCUUCUCAUUGCCUUUUAGUACGAGAAAUGCAUAUUUGCCUCUAGGAAUAUAGUCGAUUCUUCGUAAUCAGGCACAAUUGUCUUUGAAACAGUUGAUCUGCACUCUGACUUGAAGGUUCUGUUUUCUUGAUUUUAUAGACCCUGAAAGGCAAGGACUGUUGGACUGGUCCAGACGGUACAAAAUAAUAGGAGGCAUUGCUCUAGGAAUUCUUUAUCUUCACGAGGACUCUCGGCUACGAAUUAUACAUCGUGACCUCAAAGCUAGCAAUAUUCUGCUAGAUGGAGAUAUGAACCCCAAAAUCUCAGAUUUUGGCAUGGCUAGGAUUUUCGUAGUUGAUCAAUCUCAAGCAAGUACAAUUAGAAUUGUUGGAACAUAGUAAGUUUGGAUCUAAUUCCCAUUGAUCAGUAAAUUCAUCUGCUGACAGAGUGCUUUCAUUUCGUUUUUUCUAAUCAUUUCUCCGUUUCUCUUGUUUGUAGUGGUUAUAUGUCCCCAGAAUAUGCGAUGCAUGGGCGUUUCUCUGUCAAGUCUGAUGUCUAUAGCUUUGGUGUCUUAAUCCUUGAGAUUAUAACCGGAAAGAAGAACAGUUCUUUCUAUCAAACUGGGGGUGCUGCAGACCUUGUGAGCUAUGUGAGUACAAGUUUUUCUCUCUUGAAAGCAGAUAGCAUAAGAUUUAGCAACUUUUGACCAUUCAAUUUUCUUUUUCCAGGUUUGGAAACAUUGGAGAGAUGGGACACAAUUGGAAGUGCUGGAUCCAACUCUGACAGAUACAUAUUCAAGAAAUGAAGUAAUUAGAUGCAUCCACGUUGGAUUGUUAUGUGUUCAAGAAGAUCCAGCUAUCAGACCCGCAAUGGCAACAAUUGUUCUCACACUCAAUAGUAACUCGGUUACCUUACCAUCACCGCAAGAGCCUGCUUUUUUUAUCCAACCAGAAAAUAAAAAUUGAUUCAUUUUGAAUCUUGUUACUUUUUUAUUAAGCUCAUUUUCAGCUUAAGGAGUGCUUUAAUUUCUAUGCAAUGGGAAGAUGAAGAGACGUACGUGUAAUUACACGAAGCCAAGAUUACGCGUAAUGCUACUUUAGAAUCUUUUGAGCUGAAAAUGUUUGUUUGACCGGUAGUUCCAAUCAGAGUUGAUGGAAAUAAAAGAAAACGAAAGGAAAAGGGUCUUUUUUUUUUUUCAAAGUAAGACAUUUGGAAGUAUCAUGUUUAUGAAAUGUGAUUUAGUGAAAUUUUAAUUCUUUUAUUUCAAGCAGUUAAUUAGUUAGAUGCAAUUUUACUAAUUGGUUGACUAUUUCUUAUAACAAUUAUAAUUUUAUAAAGUUUUUUUAAAUAUAUUUUAUAAAUUAAAAUAUAAAUUUUUAUUUAAUUUACUAUUUUUUAAAAAAAAUUAUUUAAUAUAUUUUUAAAUAAAAAUCACUUUAAAAAUAAGCUAUUUGUAAAAACAACAUAUAAAAACUUAUCAAAAAGCAUAUUCCUUCUUGCCGUCAUGAAAGAAUGGCAAAAGGGUCACUUAUCAUGAUGAAAAGAAGUCGUAGUUAACUAGUUGGAUGCUUACACUACGAGGGUUUAUUUUAUAUUUUUAUAAAAAAUUCUAUAAAAAAUUAUAAUAUAAAAAUUAAUAUUUUUUAAUAUUAAUAAUAAUUUUAUUUUCAAAUUUAUUAAUAAUAACAGAUGAAGUGAACAUUUCAAGCAAGGAAUUUAUUUUCGAACAUUCUAAAAGCAAGUCUGUUGCUUAUUCUGUAGAUGAAGAUUCAAUUACUGAAGUAUAUCCUCGAUAGGGAGUAUGUGUAUUUUCUCUAAAAUAAGAAUAGGAAAAAAAAAAUGAGGUUAAUUUUUCAGCACCAAACACUUUAAAAUUGUGACUUAUUUACACACACUUAUAAUUCUGAAUAUAUUGGCUCUUAUCUUUAUAGGAAAAUUAAUCCUUUAAUUUUCAUAAUCUAUUAAGAAUUCUAACUAACUAAUUAAAAAUUCUAAUUAACUAGUCUAACACAAAUCUCUUUUUUUUCCUCAAGGAUUCCUACCUACACAAUGAUUAUAACGAUUAUCUAACAAUCUCUCAUUAAACUUGAUCUUUCAUCCUUUUAGAAGCUCUGUUAAUUCUCUAGAAUUGUUUUUCUUAAUAAUAACAAUUUUAUCAUCCAUAAACUUUUGUUACUUUAUUUCUUUUAAAGUGUUUUCAGAAGUCAUUGGAUCACACAAUGAGAAUAAAGCAAAAUAAGUAACUGGAUCAUCAUAUUAAUUGAUUUUAGUUGCCUCAUAAUUAUUCAUCCAUGUAGGUCUUUUUGUAGCAUGUUCUGAUCGUUGAUAAUUAUUUGUUGAUGUUAUCAAUGGGACUUGAUUACCUAUUAACUAUUGUGAUUUUUUCAUAGGCCUCUUCUUUUUCUCAUCAUUAAGUUUCUUUAUAUCUAAAGCAACUUGUUUCAACUCUUUUUCUGCUUUUUUUUUUUUUCUCUCUAAGAGAAGUAAUAUGUUGAAGCUCACUUCUCUUUUCUAAUUAACUCAAAGACUUUCUCUUAAUUCCUUAAAUAGCUUUCUAUCUCUUCAUGCCUUUUAUAAAUAUUGCUUUCCAAUUCCUUAUUUUGCAUCUCAAUGACUAACAAGAAGUCUACAUAUUCCUUCUAAAUCUUGUUUGAACAAUUCAGAAUGUUCGUGCUACAUUUUAUAUCUGAAAUCUUCAUCCUUACGAUUAAGUGACUCAACAUCUUGCAUAUGUUGAUCUUGUAUUUCUCUUUUCUCUAGUUUAAGGCUAUCAUGUUCAUUUUUGAGUAACCUAAAAAUAAUUUAUCUCUCCUCUAUUACAUGUUCGACUUCAUUUCUUAGCUCUUCAUUUUUUUAAUUGAUCAACUCUCACUCAGAUUCAAAAUCAUAUUCAUCCCGAUCAAUAAAAGUAAAGCCUUCUUUUCUCAUUAGCAUUAACAUCACAAAACUUGUUAAAUCUUGAUAAGAUUCAUCUAAACUAGAGAAGAUUGAUUUAUCUGCACUCAUGUGAUUGCUAUACCUGGUGUCUAAAUACCAUAAAUUUUGAUGAUAUUUCUUAUUUAUAUGCAAGCCAUCAAUAAAGACAUUUUUUCUUUCUUUAAUGUAAAAUUAGAUUUACCAUCAUUUCUAUUCAAAUUAGCAUGACAUUUAGAUUUGUAAUGUCAAUACCUGUGACACCUGAAACAUUUAACCUUUGAUUUGUUCAUUGGCUUUGGCUUGUAAAAAGUUAAAUGAUUAUUGUCAUAUUUUUUUUUCCUUGUUUGAGAAUUAGAAGAAUGAUUAUCUUUAAAUUUCUGAUGUGAAAAUCUACCAUUAUUGUUGUUUGUUCUCCUUCCUCUUCUUUCUCCACCUAAAAAGUGAUUAUUAGAUAAAACUCCUAAAGCUUGCUCCUUCUUAUCUUGUUGAUUCAACUUUUUCUCAUGAAUUAGCAAGGAACUUUGCAAUUCAUCAAUAGAAAGUUCAUCAAUAUUCUUAUCUUUUUUAAUUUCUAUUGAACUCAUAAUAAAAUUGAAUUUUGGUGUCAAUGAUUGAAUAAUUUUUUUAAUGAUGGUAAUAUCCCCUGUUUUAUUGUCAUGGAUUUGCAUCUUGUUAAUUAUUUCCAUUGUUCUUGAAAAGAAGUCUAUGACUAACUCUCCCAUAUUCACCCUAUGGAAUUUGAACUUUUUUCGAAGUGCUUGAAGUUAUUGCCUUUUUGCUCUAGUGUUUCCUUCGUACUUUUUUCUCAUCAAAUCCCAAAUAUCCUUAGAGGUUUCUUUAUAAAGAAUGUUUCCAACAUUGAUUGGUCAAUCUAUUGGAAAAAAAAUAACUUUUUUUCCUUGAAAUCUUUCGAUCAUUGCACUUCUAUCUUUGUUUUUUACACAUUUGUUAUUAUUGAUCUGGAUGGUAAUUCAAUUAUUUCUUGAGAAACAAUUUGUCAAUAUUCCUUAGGUCUUAAGAAGUUAUUAUUAACAUACUACAAUGAUCAUAAUUAAUGGACAUCAAAAUGUGGAAUGGAUGGUUGAAUAAAAUUAUAGAAGCCAUGAUUAGAGACUCUUUUCUACUUCUACUAUUAUUGGAGGCUAACUUGCUACUUGCUAGUUGGAUACUAAUUGUUGGAAAUUUUUGGUGCUUCAAAAGAGCUUUUUUCUUGCUGCUGCGAAGAGUUUAUCUUACUUGGUCUCUAAUCAAUCUAAGCUCAAAUAUCAAUUAUCAAAAAUUAAAACACAAAAGUAUUUGGAUGAACCUCCCAAAAUUUAUUAACCAACUCACACUCAUCAACACACUUAUAAUUUUGAAUACAUUGACCAAGGAUUCUAAUUAAGUAGUCUUACAUAAAUCUUUUUUUUUUAAUUAAGGAAUCCUACGUAAAAUAGGAUUAUAACUAAUAUCUAACAUUCAUGUCAUGGUGUGCUAUCAUGAUUAGUAGUUCACUAGCUACUACUUGAUGAAUUGACAUAAUGUAUAACAAAAGAAAGAAAUAUGAUUUGUCAAGUUUUAAAAUUACAACCUUAGAACCUAGAGAAAACUAUGUUUGAUAUGUUUUAAAAUUUAGUAAUUUAUAAAAUUGUUUUGAAAAACACAUCAACUAUUUAUAUAAUGGCUAAACCAACCUAGACUAUAAAGGAAAUUCAAACCAAAAUUAACUAGAAAAAUAAAUAAAUAAAUCUAAAAAUAACAAGAAAAAUCAAGAAAAUUCCUAGACAUUAUCUUUUAGGUAAAAUUUGAACAUGUUCACCAUCUUAACUAGUGCUUAUCAACCAAUCUUCAUAAGGAAUAAGGACAGUAGACACUAUCAGAAUUUUUAUAUUUACCGACAGAAUUUUCCAUCGGUAUUUGUACUAUCAUUUCGUUGGCAAUUAAUUUACCGACGGGAUCAUAAACAGAAAUGCUCCGUCGAUGAAUCUCUUGUUGAUAAUUUUUUGUCUGUCGGUAAGUCUGUCAGUAAUAAAAAAAAAUAUUAUUACCGAUGGAUUUUCUGACGGAAAAAGUACGCUAAAAAAAUUAUCCGCUUCAUUCUGUUAGUAUUUCCCUCGAGAAGCUUGUCAUAUAACUGAUAAAAAUACCGUAUGCAAUUCCUUCGAUAAUUAUUUAAAAAUAUUUUUUAAAAAUCCAUUUAAAAAAACUAGAAAAUAAUUAAAUUAAUAUAAAUCAACACUCCAUAAUACUCAGAAUUGAGUUGCUUGAAAAAAAAAUCAACUCAAACAAAUUUGCAACAAAUAAAUAACAUAAAAAAAUAAACAACAAUAAUAAAUAAAUAAAUCAACUAAAAAUAAUUUCAUAUGAAAAAAACGAAGUUGUGAUUGCUAAAAAUUUAAAAAUCCUAUAAAUAAAUCAACUAAAAAUUGAUCUCAUAUGAAAAAAGAAAAUCCUACAACAACAUUCAUACAAUUAUUAAGAACACAAAAAUUUAAAAAUAAAAUAAAAUAAAAUAACAAAUAUAAUGAAAAAACAAACAGAAAAAAUUAAAGAAGAAAAAAAAUCUUACCUUAAUAUAGUUGCGAGUGAAGAUGAGAAGAGGAAAAAAAACAAAUUCAUAAAGUAUGUUUAUUAAAAAAAAACUGAGAAAAGAAAAAAAGAAAAGAGGAGAAGACAUACUUGAGCGUGGAGGAGAAGAGAAGGAGUUGAGGAGAGAAGAGAGGAGAAAGAAAGAAAGAGAUGUUGAUGUUUUUCAUAUAAUAAUAAUAAUAAUAAUAAUAAGAAGAAGAAGAAGAAAAAGAGACUCGUCUGUUGUGAAAUUAGGGAUUCUAGUCUUUUUAUUGGGGCAUUUUACCUACGGAUAAUUAAAUAUUAAUAUUUUUAAUUAUUCCGUAGGUGAUUCCAUUUGUAAUAUUUAAUUUAAAUUUUCAAUUUAAUCGAAAAGUUUCAGAAACAGUCAAAUAUCACCGACGAAUUUUCAAUCCAUUGGUGAUUCUGUCUGAAAUAUUUAAUUUAAGUAUUCAUUUUAAUCAAAAAAUUUCAGAAACCCGCCAAAUAACACUGAUGACUUUUCAAUUCAUCGGUGAUUUUGUCUGUAAAAAACAGUAAUUAACAGUGCAAUUGAGAAGUGAACAGUUUCACAGCUCUUUGGAAAAUACGUAUAGAAUUUAUCCAUCAGUGAUUCCCUUUGUAAUUGACAUGAUGAACAAUGCUACGGAGAAGUGAACAGUUUACCAACGAGUUUAUGGACGAAUUUUGCCGGUGGUAUUAAUACCGCGGUAAUUCUAUUGAUAUAAAUAACACGUCAUCGUAUUUUUUAGUUUUGUUUUAAUUCUUUUUUUUUUCACUGUAAUUCCCUCGGUAUAUGUCAAUGGAAUAUUUCUAUCGGUAAAAUUCACUACAAUUUAUCGAUGAAAACAUUUCGUCAGUAAUUAUAUUUGUAUUUAUCAAUUUUCUAGUAGUGAGAACUUUAUAUCAAACUUUCAACUUGAUAAAUAGUUAUGCUAUGCUUUUGUUAGAAAUCUCCUUUUAACAUAGCUAAACGUUUUUGGAUUUGUUCUUGUUUAUUUGAUUUAUGAAUAUAUCCACCAGAGAUUCCACGUCAUGUAUAUUGUUUUAAAUUCCGAUAUUAAGGGUAUGUAAUCUAGCUGGUUGUUUUAUUACAAAAUCAUAACCAACUAAAAGCAUACUAGAGGAAGCUAAAAUACUGUAAAUAAAAUUAUAUUUGAAUUCGCAAGUGUCAACUAAAACUAAGUUUCUUUUCGGACCAUUUUAAGAGUAUUUUCACGUUGGUUUUAUGUAUUCAUAGUAAUUUAAUAAAUUCUCUUAAAUAUUGUUAUCCAAGACUUAAACUAAAGAUUAAAAUCUUUUAACUUAAUCAUCCGUUGAACUUCUCGAGAUUAAAAUAAUGCACUCAGAUACAUACAAAAUUUAAAUUUAAUCGGUAAAGUUACUUAAUCUAAAUUUAAUUUAAGUUUUUGUUUUGCUAGAUUUUAAACAGAUGAAAAUAUUAAUGAAAAAUGUAUUUCUCACCAUCUUUGUCUUUGAAUUAAAAUCCAUGGUAAUAAUUGUUGUUACCUAUUUUUGGGUUCCCAUAAAAAAAAAUGAGAAAAUACAAAAAAUAUCAAAAAAAUAUUCAAAAGAAAUCCAAAAAAUAAUAGGAGCGAGAAAAGGAUGCUGGAAUGCCAAAAAAAUGCCAAAAUUGGUUGAAGAAGUUCAAAAAUACAAAAGGUUAAAAUUUGACAGUAUAUUUUUUGACAGAUGAGAGCCUUGUUGACAAAGAAAAUUCAAGUUGAGGAAGAAAAGUCUAAAAUCAGAUAUUUAUGGACUCAAUUAAAUUUUAUCUAAGGUUUAAUUGAAUUUAUGGAGGGUUGGAUUGUAAGAAAAAUUGAUUUUUAAGUCAAUUUAGGCUUUUAUUGGAAGAAAUUAAAGUUCUGGGGUUCCAUUAUAAUUUAGAAGAGUUGAUUUGAUCAAAGCAGGGGCUUAAUUGCAUAAUUAUUGAAGUUUGUUGGCCAAUUAGGGACUUAAUUGAAAUAAUCCGAAACCAAGGACCAAACCGGAAAAGACGCUACAAUCAAGGGCUCCAAUUACAACUUUUCCGGGGGGCUUGAUUACAAGACUGUAAAAAUAUCCAAGGACCAAAUCAGAAAUAUCAUUUAAAGUGGCAAAACGUUGCCGUUUCAGAGGCACUAUUCAUUGUCUUCUUCACCGAUUCAGCAAAAAGGAACCGUUUCAGCAACAAAUGCCGCUGAUUAUGGGGAACGUUUCACAGCUACUAUCUCUCUACCGUUACCACUGCAAUAAUGGUCCCGAACGUUUUCAUUAUAUAUAUAUAAAAAAAAACGCAUACAGUUUUGGCUAUAAAAGGAGAGAAAAAGGACGAGACUAGGGAGGAGGAAGGGAGGAGACGGGGCAGAGGAGAGAAAGUAACGAGAGAAGAAAGAAAAAAACAAAAAACAAAGGGAGAGGGGAACGUAAGGAAGAGAAAACAGAGGGAGGAAAAGCUUAAGAAACUAAAGAGAAGAACCCGAGGGGGGCGAAAAAGAACGGGAUAAACAAAAAAAAAACAGGGAGAGGGGAAAUGUAAGAAACGAAACAAGGCAGAGAAGGGGAAGAACUGAGCAACACAGGGAGACGAAAACAGAGGAGAGGGUGAGUAUAAGAAACGAAAAAAGCAGAGAAAAAGAAAAGACGAAACAGAGGGAGCACAAGAGAGAAAGGGAGGGAAUACAGAGGAGAAAGAGAGAGCGUACAGGGGAGAAGAGAGUUUAAAAAAAAAAAAACAGAGGAGUAAUAGAGGAGAUUACAGAGGGGAGCAGAGGACGAAGAGAGGAGAAACAAUGGCGUCUCUGCAACGGGGAAGAAGAAGAAAAAUAGUAGCGCUACCGGGCUUCUCAGCCACCACCAUAGCCGGCUGCCGCGACACCAACGCCACCACCGUGAACGACAGCGCCUCCAUUCCAGGUAACACUCUUCUCCUUCUUCUCUUCUGCCCGGUUGGUCUCUUGCAUGCAGAACGUGUGCUGCUCACGUUGCUGCAGCAAGGAAGAAAAUUAACCGGUUACUGUGCAUGCUCACAGUAACCGGCUAAUUAUAAUUAGCGCGGCACAGUAACCAGUUCAUUGUUUGUUUUGGGUUGGAACAUUGGCCAGCCGGAAAAAAAAUUCAAAAAAAUUAUUUAAAAUAAAUCUGUGAUUUUCUGUAAAUUUGUUACUGCAUUUUGAUCAAUAUCAGUUUGUAUUUUUAUAUUGUAAAGAUAUAAAUCCGGUAUUAAAAUACCUUAUUUUUUUAUCAAGACAUCAAAAAAAUAAAAAUAAAAAUGUUUUGUUUUCAUGCAUACGGUUAAGUCUCUCAAAAAUAAAAAAAAUAAAAAAAUCAUAUUUUAUUUUCAUACAACAAAGGAAAUUUUAAAAAAUAUAUAUUAGCAUGCAUUUUGGCUUUAAUAACCAGUUUAUUAAAGUCAUGAGGACUAGGCCAAUAUUUCAAAAAUUCUAAAAAAAAUUAUUUUUUUUCUUUUAAUAUCUGGGGUUACGACCAUGGUUGUUAAAAAUGCGUUUUAACUCGUAAACUCGUCCGAUUUUACGAGUUAAAACACAAAAAACGUGUAGAAUCGGGGUUAAAACUCGAAAACCAGCAAAAUCGGGUUGACUCGGUCAAACUCGCAAAAAAACAGGUUGACUCGGUAAAAACGUAAAAAACGUAACGAUUCCACGAGUUAAUAAAAAUUUUCACUUUCACACCGUUUCACGCCUUCACGCUCACAGUUUCACUUCACCAAAAGGCAAAUGCAGAGUUGCAAGGGCAGACAAUUAGAAAUGCAAAAUUGCAAAGCACCAGUCUCUUUCCAGUUUCCAAGUCCCCAUCUCCCACUCUCCCCGUCUCCCUGACCUGACUCCUUUUCCCUUUCCCCUUCCCCCUUUCCCCUUUUCACUUUCCCCAGCAAUUUAAGAAAUCAAUUUCCCCCAAUCUGGAGCGUUCUUGGCGAGACGAAGGUAAGAAUUGAUUCCCAGUCCCAAAGCUUUGUUUUUUCUGUCUAAUGGUGGUGAUUAGAGACAAAAAUUAUCUAGGUAUUUUGUGAAUCUGAGUUUAUCUUCUGGGUAUUCUACUAUUACAUGAUUUGCUGCUGGGUAUUUUUUCGGAGGAGAAGUGGUGCUGCGCUGCUCUGUAUUCACCUAUGCUCUGUUUCAUCUUGCAUUCUUGCUUGCUUUGGUGUUGCAGAUUCUGUAAUUUUGCAUAAACAACGAAGCAACGAAGCAGAUUUCCAGGAUUGCACUCUUGUCAAGGUCACUUUCCAUUAACUUUAACUAAGCUUCUUAAUUAUAUGUAAUUUGUCUACGUAUUCUGUGAAUGUGUUUAAUUGCUUGCUUGCUGUUUUUGUGUGUUGUAAUUUCUUGUAAUUAAGCUUCUUGAUUCUCGGUUCUCAAUGUGUUAAGGUCAGUCUUGGAUUGGAAUGCCUUUUGCAGUGCUUCUGUUGCUUUUUUGUGAAUUGUAAAUCGUUAGAUUACAUGUUGUCACCUGCCAUACUUCUGUAGUUUAAAUACUGGGAAACAAACAUUUCAAUUCCUUUGGCAAAAAUUUUACUUCCGAUUUUACGAUUUUACGAUUCGAGUUUACGAGUCGAGUUUAUAUUGCAUGUUCCGUGUCGUGUCAAAAAAGCGUUUUUGACAACCUUGGUUACGACCUUAUACGUAAGACGUAUUCUGGAUAUUAAAUUUUUUUGUUGACGUCAGAAUUACCCGAUAAGAUAAGGAUCUCCUUACUGAGGAGAAUAUUUCUUAAACCAUAGACGAACCAACAAUCAGAAAAUACGACAAGACCUUAGAUUUUAUCAGACAAUAAAACAAUGCAGCUUACUUUAGGUAGGACGUAUUUGGGAUGCUAAUACCUUCCCUUUACGCAACCAGUCCCCGUACCCGAUCUCUGAGACCAAUUAGGGUUCCUAGUAACCAAAAUACUAGGUGGCGACUCCCAUUCCAUUUUUCCACUAAUAAAAAACAAGAAUUCCUUAUCUCCCAACAUUUGCCACAUUUAGAUACGAAUAUUAAGGGUGGAUGUUUUCGCCACGACGCCGCACACGUGCGACAAUAAUUGUACACACAUAUUUUUUUUAAAAAAAAACAAGGAAAAAGUGUAGCUUGAGAGCUUUAUGGUAGAGAUUCAAUGCUUGAAGAGAACUUGUCUCUCUAUCCUGCUCCUCUUUAUACAGUUAAAGCCCUCUAUUUAUGGAGGUAUGGAGGAUUAGAAUUGAAAAUUUGUGGGUGGAAAAUAUCAUAAUAAUAAUUUAUGUAAUUAAUAAAAUUAUGUCAAAUAUUGUUUUAGUGACACUUGAUAAACUUAGAAUAUAUAGUUAUUAAAAAAAGAUUUAGGUGAUCCCGUAUAUGGAAAUGAAUAUUUUAUUUAAUUAUCAUAAACAUAAGAUCCACUUAACCCAUAAUUUUAAAAUUACAAGGACCAUCUUGCUAUAAAUUCGAUAGUUUGUGGUAGAAAUAUUUUCGAUCCUACAAUAACGCAGAGAAAAAAAUCUCCUCAAUAAUUCGAAACAAGACUGGAAUGCUGACUUCCUCAGAAGUAGAAUGGAAGAGAUGGAGAACCCAAAAAUUAAAAGACAAACUAAAUUUAUAGAGUGAAGUUUUAAAUGGGCCAAUUCUUUAAUUCUUUUUUUGAAGGCCACUACUAUCCAACAUGGAGAAACCCACUCUAUGAACUUGCCAUCAGUUCUGGGCUUUGGGCCAAAUCUGAAGGAUCUCGAGUUCAAAAUAAAUUUAGUUGGGUUAACAAGCCCAAGUUCUACCACAUGUUUUAAAAGAUGUGGAUGACAUUUGGUGUGCCCUUUAUUUUUUUUAAGAAGAGAAACAAAUAACGCAUUGCGUGGUAGAAAAAAAAAAAAAUACAAUGGCAAAGUUUUUUUUAGAAAAUUUAUUUUUCAAUCAAUUUUCAUAUAUAAAUAAAAAUACUUAAUAAACACCAUAAAAGCUUUUCUAAAUUAUUUAAUUACACUAAAACACACCAAAAUAACCCAAAACAAGUAUGAAAAUCAACCAAACAAAAAAUCUUUAAAUUGAGCCCAAUCAAUUUUUACAAGUAAGAUAAAGAUUUGAAACCAGCACAAUCGAAUCUCUAUUGUUAAAUAGAAUUUAUCGACACUAUAAACAAUGAGUUUCUUUGUUGAAAAAUUGCUAACCCAAUAAUGUUUUUUUUUCUAGCUAUUUCCAGUGAAUUUCUCUCACAUCUCUUUAAUAUAGGGACCGAAUAAUGAACAAGAUGAACUUUAGAAUCCAAAUAGAAAUUGUAGUGAAUUUAAAAUAGGCCAUGUAUUUUCACUUUUUUUCAUGUAGUUCUCUAUUUCUUAAUUUUUUAUUUUUAUGAUAAUUUAAAAUAUAAUUUUAUUUAAUUAGGCUAUAAAAAGAUUCCAUUAAAAGAAAAAAAUUAUUGAAAAUGAAAAAAAGAGAAGGCAAGAGCUUUAUUGUUUAAAUAAAGAAUGAAACCGACGUUAGUUGGUUUAAUUGUUUUUAUAAUUCUAUCCAAAGACUCUUUGAAAAUUAAUUAAAUUAAAGACUUUUAGCUUUCUUUUUAUGUAAUAAAAAAUAGAAGAAGUCGGAGUUUGGUACCCCUCCAAAGGUAACCCUUUGGUGUUUAUAGCAUUAGGUUCCUGCGAGAAGGGUAUAAAUAUAUUAAAUGGCUAGGGGUUGUGGCAAGGGACUAAAGUCCGGUUUGAAGCUACUGUUUAAGAUUCCAUUUUAAAUAGAGGUUUGCUAAAAAUUUAAAUUUUUUUUUCUUAAAAUUAUUUUUUUAUGUGUUUUUAUUGUUUUGAUUUGCUAAUGUCAAAAAUAUAUUUUAAAAAUAAAAAAAAUAUUAUUUUAAUAUAUUUAUGAACAAAAAAAUAUUUUAAAAAAUAACUACUAUCAUAUUUUCAAACACUCCAAAAAACAAAUAACGGAAAAACCUAAAACUAUGCACUAAUAUUGAUAGAAACAUGUUUUUAUCCUAUUUAUCUUAUAACCCAUAACUAUAUAUAAAAAGCAUAAAUAUUACAUAAAAAUAGUUGAUUUAACUAAAUUGUAUUAAUUUUAUAACUAAAAUAGGAAUUUUAAUAUGGAUUUUUUUUUGUUUUUUUCAUAUAAAGCUAAUAAUUAAUAAUUUAAUUAACUUUUCCUUUUUUCAUAAAAUCUAAUUAUUAGUAAUUGUACUCAUUCCAUAUCUAAUUAGGAAAAAGACUAAAACAACAAUAUAUAAUUUCUUAACACUAUUUAAUUUCGUUUUUUAUAUGCCAACACAUGCAUUAUACAAAAUCUUAAAUAUUAUUAAAAAAAAAACCCUCUUAAACCAUCCCUAACCUAUAUACUACAUCAUUUAAAAUUAACAAAACUGUGAAAAUACUUUAAAACAUGUCAUUGAAGGAUCUAUUGUAAAGAAAUAUUAAUUUAAUAAAAUUUAGCAAAUUAUUAAAUUAAUAUUUCUUUACAAUAGAUCCAUCUUAUGUUGUUGAUUGCAAGAAAGAAACUCUCUCUCUCUCUCUCUCUCUCUCUCUCUCUCUAUAUAUAUAUAUAUAUAUAUAUAUAUAUAUUACCUUAUAAUCUAAACCAAGUGGGAUUUUUACCAUGCAUUUUUUACUGUUCAUCCUCUCACAUUUUACUAUGGAUGGACUGUGCAAAAUUUUAUAUUUUUUUCAAUUUGGUCCUUAAAUUUUUUUAGGCGAUUUAAUUCUAUUUAAGGAGCAAUUGAUUUUAAAUUUUUAUGAAAGGGUGAGAUUGGAAGAGGGGAUACCGAAAUGAAAAACAUGGCAAAUAUGAGUGGCGUACUAUAAGUUUUGAAAAAGAUGCACUUGGUUCUCCAACUUAAAUAAUUAUGUAAAUUAUACAAAUUUGAUCCCUCGAAAUUGUUCCAAUUCCAUUUUGGUAUAAAAUUUUAUUCUUGUUAUUUUUUGGUCCUUAGUUGAGAGAGGAGAGAAAUAGAUCGUUGGAUUUCAGCGAUAGAAAAAAAAACAUGUCGUUGACAUCGAUUUAGACCACCAACAUGGGGGUAUUUGUGUUAAAUUGUUUCAUUUGAUGAGGAGGGGUUCCUACUAGAUGUUUUUAUACCUUAAAUGUUCUUGAAAAAACAGAACUUAGCUCGAGUUGAUUUUUAGUUUUGGGUUGAGUUCAGUUUUUAGGGUAGUUUUUUGAGGUCAUUGAUAGGUUUAUCAUGAUUUUCUAAGGUGUUUUGGGUCAAAAACAGGUUGCAAAACAGGUUUUUAAGUCAAAAAAACAUAAACCCCGAUUUUCCAGCCACCAUAAUGGCUGGAAUCUGGGCAAAACAGGCGACGGGGUCGUUUGCCUCAGCAUGCGACGCAUCGUCUGUUUCUUUUUUAAAAAAAAAGGCGGACGCACAGAUUAAAAAAAAGGUCCAGUCGCGUGGGCCUUGGUGAAAUGGGCUAAACGGGCUGGCCUGACCCUUUUUUCCCUAUUUUUUGAAUUUCAAUUAAUGCGUUUUUUAUUUUCUUAAAAAAAAUUAUUUAUAUUUACAUAAUACAUUUUUUCUUUUUUAUUUUGUUUAGAGAGCCUCUUUUAAAUAAUGAUGAUUUUUUGGUUAUGCGUUUAAUUUUUAAAGAGGUUUUUUUAUUCAUUUAUGAUUUUUUUUAUCUUUUUUAUAGAUAAACUAUGUUUAUAAAAAUAAAAAAAUAUUUAUUUUCAGAUGAUAUUUCUAAUAUGUGUAGCCGUACAUAUUAUUCUUGUUUUUUUUUAUUCAAUCAAUUUAACAUGUUUGUCUAUUUUUAUUAUCGUUUGAUUAAAUAAAAAAUAUUUUAAUAAACAAAAAUUAGAAAACAUGAUCGGUUAAAUGUCCUAUCUUGCGAGAUUAAAUAUCUUAAUCUAUAUUUGUCUCUUGGUUUUUCAAGUUUUGUUUUUAGACGUCAUUAAUGAUUUUUUUAUUUAUUCAUGAGCACAUAUAGUUUUCAAUUUAUUUGAUUACAUGUGUUCAUAAACUUUUUGAUUUGUUAAAUUUUUUGAAGUACAAAAAUGCAUUGAAAAAAUAUGCAUAUAUAAUAUUUUUAUGAAAAAUAAAAAUAUUUGACCUGCGGCAGAGCGCGAGUUACAUAAGUAGCGUGUUUGUGUGUAUGUGUGUGUGUAUAUAUAUAUGUUAUGUAAUAUAUAAAUUUUUUUCUUAUAAAAGCAUGACUUAAAUAAUAUUGUUCUGAUUUUUAAAUAUGCUUGUAAUAAAUUUUUUUUUUCCUGAAAUAUCAAAUAUGAACUUAGCAAAGGGUCCAAAAUAUUGAAAGGACUAUAGUUGUUACUUCAAAGAAUAUUACACCGGUUGUAUUGUCAAUUAUCAAGUUAUAAUUUCUGUAUUAAAAUAAUAAUUUAUUUGCACUUUAUUUAAACAAUGUAAUGAAACUACUAUUUAAUUUUCCUAGAAAAGAAAAGGAAGUUAUCAGUCUAACAAGAAUAUUUUGUUUAUUAAAAGUGAACUAAUAGGUAAUUUUAAAUAAUGUGAAAAGAAGAUAUCUAACAAUAUGUUUCUAUUAAAAAAUUGCUAUUUUUAACCAUUAUUAUAGAGUGUAUAUUAUUUAAUUAAUUAGUAAAAUGAUACAUAAUAUUAAAUGAUUUUAAUUAGUUAUUCUAAAGUAAAGAUUGCGCUCGAUCAAUAAGUGCCAGUGCUAAUUAAUCCUCUCUUGUAGAAAAGCUUGAUAUUGACUUUUUUUUCAAUGACUUCAAUCUCCAGUUUUGCUAAGCUGGCUAAAGCCGAUAAGAGAUACAACUUUCUUUCUUCCACCGUGAGGCCUGCUAGCUAGCUGAUCACCCAAAAGAUGAAAAUUCUCUCAAAUUCUACAUUUAAUGCAUUCUUUAUAUGUAUAAAAAUUCAUAAUAGCAAAACAAAAUGUUUAUACUUUCAUCUAAUUAAUUAAAUAUUUGAUAAAUAGACUAAGAUAUUUAUUCCACUAAUACAAGUCAUAUACUUAGUUGUUAUGUGUAGUAAUCAUGUUUCUUAGAAUAUUUUUUUUAUUUGAUGAAGUAACCACUUGCGUCAAUAAAAAAUAAAUAAAAAUUAUAAAUCAAUAUGAAUGACGAAACUGAAAUAAAAAUACUAACUUAAAUAGCAAUGAAAAAUCUCGGGUCAAACCAUGUAAAACUUGGCCAAUUAUUUUUUUAUUAAUAUUUUACAUGUUUUAUUUUUGUUUCUUCUUAGGUAGGUACAUUGAUCUUUUCUUGACUUGGUUUUCACGACCCUUGUACAUUUGAAAAGUCAGUUACACCAGCAUUUUAUCCAAACACAAGUACGCCUAUAACUCCAUUAACCUGCCCAGAUUUGAUUUGGAUUACUUGUUUAUAAAUGACGUGGGCCAGCUAACGAUACAACGACAAGUGGCUUGUUGGCAACAAUCAUGGCAAAGAUUAGAAUCUUAGAUUGACGGACGAGAUCACAGUGAUGAACCAGGUCAAGAUUACUAUUGGUGGGGGUGGGAUCGUUGUUCUGUUGGAGGGUAGGUGGUGGGGGUGUCGUUGGGCCAGAUCUUGUUCUUUUCUGGAGGUUUUUUUUAGUGGAUCUAGAUCAUCAGUCCAAUCAAUCACACUGUAACACUUCUAAAAAUAUAGAUUCUUUUGGUUCUAAACAAUUAUAAAUAAAGACGAGUAAAAAAAACCACAAUUAAAAAAAAUAAAUACAGGAAAACUGUAAUUUUUUAUUAACACAGCAAAAAUUUAGACCCCGUUUGUUUGCUGAAAAGUAGUUUUCUUUUAGAAAGUGAAUUCCGGAAAAGUGAAUUAUUUUCUGAUGUUUGGUAGUGUAAUAAAAAAUAAGUUGGAAAACACUUUCCUGUGUUUAGUUAUGUCAUAGAAAAUGAGCUGGAAAAUAACUUAUUAAUGUUUUAUUUUUCUGAAGUUUAUUAAAAUAAUGAGGAACAAAUCUUACAAAUUAAAAAGUUGAAUGAAAAUGAAAUUGAAAAGAAAUAUAACUUCAUAAAUUAUCUCAAAUAAUAGAAAUAUUAAUCAAAAUAAUAGAAAUCAAAUCUAAAAAAUAAAAAAAAAUGAAAGAUAAAAAAAUUAAAAUAAUAAUAAUUAAAAUUUCAUAAAUUAUUUCAAAUAAAAUAAGUAACAAUCAAAAGAAUAAGAAUCAAAUUUGAUAGAUAAAAAAUUUCAAUAAAAAAAAUAAUAAGGGAAAAACUAAUAACAAUUAUAAAAAUGAGGACCAAAGUUAAUAUAAAAAUUAAAUUUUAAGAGAUGAAAUUGAAAAAUAAAUAUUCAAAACAAAAAAUAUAUAUAUAUCAAUCAAAAGUUUGAGGACCAAAUUUGAUAUAAUCAGCAAAUAAUAUGACAUUUCUAAAUUUUUCACAACUUCCAGAAAGUGUUUUCCAUCCAAAUUUUCCAGGAAAACACUUUCCUGGAAACCAAACCAAUUUUUCCUUUGACGGGAAAGUGUUUUCCGUUGACCAACUUUUCUAAUGGCAAACAAAUACAGGAAAGUUUGGAAAGUGGUUUUCCGGAAACCACUUUCCAGGAAACAAACAUAGCCUAAAGAAGAGUUAGAGGAAAAAAAAAUCUAACCACCACCAACCACUAUGAAUUUCAUUACACGUGUCACCUUAUUAUUUACAUUGCGACUGGAUGCUUCAGACAACACAACAGUUUUGCCUUUUUGACCACAAUAAGAUAUAAUACACGUCGCAUAAAGAGGGUGGGUGGUGUUCACUUGAUUGAAAUAAUAUACAAGGCUAGACAUAUUAAAAAUAUUAAUUUAAAAUAAAUAUUUUUUAGUUUUAAAAACAUAGUUCAUCUAUAAAAAAAAAAUCAUAUAUAAAUUAGAAAUUAAAAACUUGGAUUUGAGUGAACUAAUAGGUAAUUUUAAAUAAUGAGAAAAGAAGAUAUCUAACACUAUGUUUCUAUUAAAAAAUUUGCUAUUUUUUAUCCAUUAUUAUAGAGUGUAUAUUAUUUAAUUAAUUAAUAAAAUGAUAUAAUAUUAAAUGAUUUUAAUUAGUUAUUCUAAAGUAAAGAUUGCGAUUAAUCAAUAAGUGCCAGUGCCAGUGUUAAUCCUCUCUAAUAGAAAAACUUGAUAUAGAAAUUUCUAAGAAAUGAACACAUAGUAGUAGAAAGCAAGGGACUCCAUGAUCUCUGUCCACUAUAGUUAAAGCAGAACUUAUGAUUGAUUGAAGGACUUACAUAAUCAGUAGUCAUUUCUUUUAUAUAUAUAUAUAUAUAUAUAUAUAUAUAUAUAUAUAUCAUAAGUUCUAGUUAUUGUAUAGCGCAUUACGCAGGAUAAAUAUAUACAAGUAAAGUACAAUAUUUUCUAUAUUACAACAAAUCCCAUAAUACACCCCCUCAAGCUAAAGAUGGGUGAACCACAUGAAGCUUGAACCGCAAAGAAGCAAAAGCAGAGUGGGGAAAUGACUUAGUAAGAACAUCAGCUACUUGGUCUUUGGAGGAUAUAAAACGAAUUUGUAUCUCCUUUUUAGCCACUCUAUCACGAACAAAGUGAUAAUCAACCACAACAUGAUUUGUACGUGCAUGGAAGAUAGGAUUAGCAUACAAAUACGUAGCACCCAAAUUGUCGCACCAAAUGGUGGUAACAAGACUGGGAGAAAAACAUAAAUCUGUUAAAAGAUAGCGAAGCCAAAGAACCUUAGCAGUACCAUCAACUAAUGCUUUAUAUUCUACUUUAGUGGAGGAGCGAGCAACAGUACGUUGCUUGCCAAAUUUCCAUGAAAUGGGAGUGGUGCCGAGAAAGACAAUGUAGCCACCCGUAGACUUUCGAUCAUCAAUGCUCCCCACCCAAUCAGCAUCAGUAAAACCAUGAAGUGAUAACAAUGAGCCACGAGUAAGGUGAAGACCAAAGGAAGACGUACCUUUCAAGUAUUGUAGUAUACGUUUGACAGCCGCCCAAUGACUCUUAGUAGGAGCAUGCAUAAACUGACAUACCUUAUUGACAACAUAACAUAUGUUUGGUCUAGUAAAUGUGAGAUACUGAAAAGCACCAAUAAUUUGACGAAAACAAGUGGGGUCCGAGAAUGGCUCACUAGUCGGUAGGCCACUCUUGGAGGCAAAAGCUAGUGUAUCAACAGGCUUGCACGAUGACAUACCAGCAUGACUCAGGAUAUCAAGAGCAUAUUUAUGUUGACUAAGCAUGAGACCCAUACUGGUGGGAGUAACUUCAAUCCCCAAGAAAUAGUGAGCAUUACCCAGAUCUUGGAGUUUGAAUUCUGAACUCAGCAGGAUAACAAGACGUUGAAUCAAAGUGGAGUUACUACCAGUAAGCAAAAUGUCAUCCACAUAGACAAGCAAAUAACAAAUAUCAUGAUUCACAUUCAGAAUGAAUAAGGAAGUAUCAACCAUGGAAGCGUGAAAGCCAACCGACAGAAGAAAGUCACUCAGUCGUUUGUACCAAGCCCGCGGGGCUUAUUUUAAACCAUAAAAGACUUGUAAAGGCGACACACAUGAGUUGGCAAGACAUGGUCGACAAAUUUCAUGGGUUAUUGCAUAUAAACAACCUCCUGAAGUGAAUAAUUGAGAAAGACAUUAUGAACAUCAAGUUGUCGUAUCUGCUAACGAUUACAUACGACAAUGACAAGGACUAGGUGGACAGUGGUCGGUUUAACAACAUGACUGAAGGUUUCUGAGUAGUCGAUACCUUCCUGUUGCAUGAACCCUCAUAUAACCAAACGCGCCUUGUAACGUUCAACAAUACCAUAAGCUCGGUGCUUGAUUUUGUAAACCCAUCGGCAACCAACAACAUUCAUAAAAGGCUUAUAUGGAACAAAAAACCAAGUACCAUUGGCAUGUAAAGUUGUAAUUUUAGAUCUCAUAGCAGAAUGCCAGCACAGAAAACGGUUAGCUUCUUUGAAAGACAAAGGUUCAUGAGCAGAGGAACAUGUUACCAGUGAGUUAGGAGGUAGUGGAGAGGUAGAAACUGAGCUCAAGUUGAUAGACUUGUGCUGUCGGGGACGCAGCACCAUGGGGUGCUGUCGGUAAACCACUAGAGCAGGAGAGUCAGAAGACCUGAUGGGCGUUUGCUGCAGUGGAAUGGAGUAGCUGGAAAGAUCAAUACAGAGAUCUAAGCCUGGUGGUGACUGUGCAGGGACCUGUGAAGGAGAUGCAGGGCCUGACGGGGAAGCUGGGGGUGUAGCAGAAGGAGGAGAGUCAGAUGCUGUGAUGUUCAUAGCAACAGAACCUGAACCUGUAAAAUCAUCAAGAGACAUAGUUGCAAAUGAUGGUAAGGGGAUCGAGGAGUGUGUGGGGAGGGUUGGUGUUUGAGGUAGGUUGUGUGAUGAGAAGUAUGUUAAGGCAGGAAGGUGGGAGAUAGGGGUCGACUGUGGGUUAGAAUGGGUUAUGGUAUAAACAUGAUCAGACUUAAGAAAUGGAAAGGAAUGUUCAUGGAAGCGAACAUGACGGGAGAUGUAAAUACGAUCAGAAGACAAGUCAAGACAACGAUAACCUAGAUGACAUGAACUAUAACCUAGAAACACACAAGGAGUAGAGUGAUAGUCUAGCUUAUGAACAUUAUAUGGUUGAAGAAACGAAAAGUAGAGACAUCCGAAAGUACGCAGGAAACUAUAAUCAGGUGGUUGAUGAAACAGACAUUCAAACAUAGAUUUGUUUUGUAAGACCAAUGUCAGCAUACGAUUAAUAAGAUAAACAGAGGUUUCAAAUGCAUAAUUCCAGAAUUUUAAAGGUGCCUUAUAGUGACCAAGAUGGGUAAGACCAGUUUCGACAAUAUGACGGUAGCGACACUCAACAGUACCAUUUUGUUCAUGCGUAUGUAGACAUAUGAUGUGAUGAUGAAUACCAAUAGUUUUGAAAAAGGAAUUUAAUUUAUGAUAUUCACCACCACAAUCAGUUUGUACUGAUUUUAUUUUGCGAGAGAAUUGUCGUUCAACCAAAACGAAAUUGAUGAAACACAUUAAACACAUCAGAUUUGACACUAAGAGGAUAAAACCAAAUAAAUUUUGUGUGCGCUUCCAUAAAGAUCACAAAAUAACAGAAACUAUCAGAAGAUAAAACAGGGGCAGGGCCCCAAACAUCACUAAAAAUUAGUUCAAGAGGAGCAGAUGUUUUGUGACCGUAGGUCCUAAUGACAAACAUAAUGAUUUUCCUAACAGACAUGUUGGAUACUGAAAAUUUAAAAGACGAGACGUACAAGUGACCUUUUUAUUUGACACUAAGAAACUCAGAACCUAGGAGCUUGGGUGACCGAGUCAACGAUGCCAAAUAUCAGCAGAGGUGAAUAAACUAGCAGACAGAAAAGCUUAGGGCAUAAACGUGGCAGAAGACUCUGAAAGGAUGUAAAAGCCAUCUUUACUCUGAUCGGAAAGCAGAACCUCCUUGGUUAUAAGAUCAUUAACAUAGAAAACAGAAGAGUGAAAUGAAAAAAAGACACAGUUUUCACGGCAGAAUUGUUGAACAGAUAAGAGUUUUUUUUUUAAUUUUUGGAACAUGCAAGACAUUAGACAACAUAAAAACUCGUUUAGGGGUACGUAAGAUAUUAUGGGCUAUAUGAGAUAUGACAAGUCCUUUACCAUCACCAACAUGCAAUUGAUCAUUACUAAGAUAAGGUUCUGCAUGUGUCAUGCCGGCAAUAUCUGGAGUAACAUGCUGAUUUACCCCAGUAUCAGGAAACCAAGUGACAAAAUUUGUUGUGGAAGCGUCACUAAAAGAGAGGUUGGGCAAGGCGUGAUUACCAUGGUGCACAAGCUAGGAGCAUUGCUGUGCAGAGUGCCCAAAUAUAUUACAAAGCUAGGAGAAGUUGGAUAGUUGAUGCUGAAAUGAAUCUGCAGUAGAAUUUCUGCAGAGGGAGCCGAAGUUGGCUACUGAUAUGAUAUCUGUUUACAAGAGUGUAGACUGGACACAAUGCAAUUUUUCAGAACUGAGGCAGGGAAGAGGAAAGAAGAUGAAAAACGUUAUUUUUUAGAGGAAAAACGUUUGCAGCAGGUUCUUUGGCAAAGAAAAAGAGGAUGUGCCGAUUAGAGGGAGAAGAAACAAGCGUAAAUCUGUUUAGAUAUUUUAGUCUCUGAUACCAAAUUGCAGCACAACUUAUUAUUGAUUGAAGAACUUAUAUAAUCAGUAGCCAUCUUUUAUAUAAAUAUGACUAGGACAACAUAUAGUAGAUACUGUGUAGUGCACUGUGCAAGAUACAUAUAUACAAGAAAAGUACAAUAUUUUCUAUAUUACAACACAUCCCAUUUAUCAUUGACUUUUUUCCCAAUAAGAGAACAAUAAAUGUGGCGUGACUUUUUUCGUUGACUUCAAUCUCCAGUUUUGCUAAGCUGGCUAAAUUAAGCCGAUAAAAGAUAACUUUCUUUUUUCCACCAUGAGCGCUGCUAGCUAGAGAGCUUGAUAACCAGUUUUGCUAAGCUUCUUUCCAUUCCUUUUCCACAUUACCUUUCAUCUGAUAAAAAGAUAUAACUUUCUUUCUUCCACCAUGAGGGCUGCUAGCUUGCUGAUCACCAAAAAGAUGAACUCUCUCAAAGUCAACGUUAUCCUGCUCUCGUUGCUUACCCUUGCUAUUAUCACUCUAGCACAGGAGGAUGCCAAUUACCUCUAUCAUAAUUGCCAUAACGCAACCACCUCCACAUUAAACAGCACCUACCGAGUCAAUCUAAAUCUCCUCCUCUCUUCACUUGCCUCGAAUGCAACCCGGAAUAAUACCAUUGGAUUCUACAACACCUCUUUCGGGAAGAAC